AUUGAACGCUGGCGGCAUGCCUAACACAUGCAAGUCGAACGGCAGCACGGCAGUAGCAAUACUGUGGGUGGCGAGUGGCGGACGGGUGAGGAAUACGUCGGGAAUCUGCCCAGUCGUGGGGGAUAACUAGCCGAAAGGUUAGCUAAUACCGCAUACGACCGAGAGGUGAAAGCGGGGGACCGCAAGGCCUCGCGCGAUUGGAUGAGCCGACGUCGGAUUAGCUAGUUGGAGGGGUAAAGGCCCCACCAAGGCGACGAUCCGUAGCUGGCUGAGAGGAUGAUCAGGCCACACUGGGAACUGAGACACGGUCCAGAUCCUACGGGAGGCAGCAUGGGG
RNAcentral lists this ribosomal RNA (336 nucleotides) under uncultured bacterium. RNAcentral describes it as "bacterial SSU rRNA". It matches the Rfam family "Bacterial small subunit ribosomal RNA", at positions 29 to 359 of the family's 1533-position model. The record is from RNAcentral.